AUGACAUUUCCCGAGUCAGUCAGAGGCUGGCAGUCGACCUGGUUCUACUGCCAGGAUCAGUCGACGCCGGGGCAGUCGAGUGGACUCCCUCAGUUCACCAUGGGCCGAGUGAACAAGCCCUCCUCUCUGAAGGUGAUUCCAGAGGAGAAAGCUGACGUGAAGAUGCUGAUGGAGCGUGUAGUUCAGUUGGUUCGGGAGGGAGUGACGGGUAUGGAUCUCCUGGAGGUUUUCCUUAGGCGUCGUAUCCAGCCUCUUCAGUUCCAGAGCCAUUGCAUGUGGUUGUACUGCGGGACCGAGGAUGUGACUCGGGUCAAUCCAGAAACAGUCGACGAUGCCACUCUGGAAAGGUGGAUGGCCGCUGUUACUGGGAACAAGGAUAACCCUCGCGGAGCCAGAAGGAUUCCUCCACUCGACUGCCACAGUGAUUCAAACAAGGCCCUCACUGAGCUGUACUCGAUGCCCAACGGAGCACAGGCUCCGACUGAUGAGGGAGAAGCGAGCGGGGGUGAGAGCCAGGAGGAGGAGUGGGACUCGGACGCUGCUGAGGAUGAUGAUGAUGAUGAUGACGAUGAUGGCGAUGAUGAUGAUGAUGGUGAAGACGAGGAAGAGGAGGAGGAGGAGGUUGCACCACCGCGCUCGGAAAGGCGGUCGAAGCUUGUCCAUGACCCCGCGACUGAACGUGGCAAGGGGGUUGCGACUGUCACACAGUCGACCAAGCGCCCUCGGACCACCUCUCCGGCGCCGACUGAAAAGGCGUCGAAGCAGCCCAGGGCGGCCCCGUCAAAGCCGACCAAGCUCCUGCCGAAGAUGAAGGUGUCCAUCCCCACCAUAUCAGGUGCUGCUACUUCUGAGACCUCAGCCCGGGCUGACGACCAUGAGAUGGAGGACGCAGCAACCUCAAAACCUGCUCCAUCCAAUGUUGUUAUCACUCUCCCUGAUGAUGAUGAAGAUGAGGAACCGCUGAAGCACAGAAAGAGUAGGAAAGCGUCUGCCGGCAGGGUGCUCCAGGAUGUGACGGUGCCUGAGACCCUGGCCGCGGAGGAAGAGAACACCACUCGACAAACUGUGUCCUUCGCAGAUCCGCUGACGAGUGCUCUGUUGGAAAUAUGCCCUAGAGGCAAUAAUAAAAGUGUUAUUAUUAUAUUUCUCUGUUCAUGA
RNAcentral lists this ribosomal RNA (1158 nucleotides) under Triticum aestivum (bread wheat). RNAcentral describes it as "partial small subunit ribosomal RNA". Lineage: Eukaryota; Viridiplantae; Streptophyta; Magnoliopsida; Poales; Poaceae. The record is from RNAcentral.